GGGUCUGUUGCUUCCAGCUGUCCCUGGAGGAUGGGAGCUAUUUAAGAACUCUCUCCAUUGAUUGCAGUUGUGUGGGACCCAUGAGGGUAAUUCCCCCUGGCCACCAGAGUCAUGUAGGGAUGUCCACAAAAAUUGGGCACUAGCUGAGGGUCUAAGCUCUUUUCUGCAAUACACAGGUGAGCUGGUGCAAGGCAGAGGGAGACCGGGAAGAUGGCAUCCACCGGCCUUUGUUUCCUGAGAGCUCAUGUGUGGCCUGUAGAUGUGUGUCAGAUCAGAAGCCUGUCCCUCAAGGCCAAAGCUCCAGGACAGGCAAAUAGGCCUCUGUCUCAGAAAGACUGGGGGUCUGCUCCAGUAUGUUAUCAACGCAGGACCCUGGAGUUGGUAGGCUACCAAGAGCGUUCGCGCUCAUUGCUGUGGUCUCGCGAGACCCGGAACACACGCUGCCCUGCCCUCCUGAGCCGCGCGGUCACCGCGCAGCAGUAGCGGAACGCCGGCCAACGGACAUGUGUGAAAGCAGUCCUCUGGGAGAUGCACACGCUUUGGUAUGUGGUAGAGGAAACGUGUAUUUCUUUUUCUGUGAAAAAGAAAGAAAGAAAAAAACCCUAGCAUUAAAUGAGGGGGACAAAAAUGGCGCCUGUUAGCUGAAGUGAGGCCGAGAGAGGAAGAGCUGGAGAUGGUGGCCGCCAGCCAGCAGCCUCUGCGUGUGUCCUAGAUUACAUGCCUGACCCUCAGGCUGCGACUUGAAGAUCUGUAAAUGGCGCCCGUAGGGCCACAAAGUUGGGAGCUUCUGGAUUGGCUGCUUCUGCGCUUGAACCCUGGGGCAGGCAAGAGGCUUUUCAUGGUACUUGACAUGCAGUCAUGGAUUGGCACAACAUAACUAUUCGUUGAAGUAGGUGGCAAGCAUCCAGCUCUGGGCCACCACAGCAGCUCCACCCCCUGGUCCAGAUAGACCUUGUUCUGCUUCACUUAACUGUUUGGCAAGUGAGUUAUUCAGAAAAGGAAAGGAACAGGCAGAAGAGGAAGAGUCCUUGCACCAUUUUAAGAUAUGUGAGAAACAAAUCAGCCUUUUGGCCACAGUGGUUGGAGUCGUGCUUUCUUAGGGCUCAGGAUUCCCUGACUGGAGCACGGCAGACAAAGCUUCAUCGUGGGAAGGAGCUGAUCUGGAUUAUAAGAAAUUUGGAAGGAAAAAGAAAACAUAUAAAUUGAAAACACACUUUUAUUGCAACACCGAGCAAGAAAUUUCAAGUUUCACCCUGUGUAUGUCUGUGUCCUUGGGUCUGUCAAGUUGAAGGUCACUCACUAACACUUUGGAAGGAAAGAUUUCUGCCAAGAGGGAGAUUUGAUGAAGAGAAACAUCUCUGAGAGUAUACAGAGCCCCUGGCUGCUGAAUUCCCAGUGGAGAUUUCACAUCUGCUUGUCAUAUAAACUUCAGCUCUGGUCUAGUGAGGAUUAAAGUCUCCCUGAGAUCCUGACUGAGCAGCCUUUCUCCCACUUUAUUUGACACCGCACUAUAUCACGGCAGUGCUGGCUCCUUCCCCACACACCGUGUGUAGUAAAUCCUCUGCACGCCACAAGGUCAGCCGAGUAUUAGAUGCAGAGUCCUGUCAGAGGUGCUGACAGCUCCAUCUUUCUGAGGACAUGCAUCUUGUGUUGUCACUUCUUCAAGUUUUUGGAAGUGCUGGGAAGGAGAAGAAGCUGUAAUUGAAAUGGGCAGGCGUGGCAGGAGAAAAGAAGAGGCAAAAUAAAUAUGGGGAAUGAUAACAGAAACAUGAAUCAAGCACUAUCGCAGCUCAGGGGACACUGGGUAGGAGAGAAAGCAGUGUCCACUUGAGAGGCCGUGGAAGAAGCAAUGUCAUCAAGAAACAUCUGAAAUGAAGUCGAGAAUACCAAGAGGCCAUAAAAUGGAGCCAGAAGACCACUGGGGAGGAUUCAAUGACUUUUGUAAAGAAUGAAAAGGAUGCUAAGAAGCCGCUGUUAGAACUUUAAAAGAUGCAAUGCAAAAUGUUACUGAAGUCAUUCAAGAAUACUUCAGAAGAAAAUUAUUCCAAGGCCAAGCAAAUUAUUAUGAUUAUAAUGCGAGUAAAGAAUGGUGUGAAAAGACAGUGAACACUCACUACCAUGUGAGAGAUGUGCACACAGAAAUUCCUCAAUUGGGAGACUUAAAGUUGACCAAGCAGCCAUAUAUUGUACUAACUACAGUAACAGUGAAGCCCCAGAUGUUGUAUGAGUUUUCAAGAGUGAGAAGAGUUUGGGCACAAGCACAGAGAUCAGACACAAUCGUGCAGAGGUACCAUCGAAAUUUGGCCAGUCUGGGAGCACAUGAGAGAGAGAGAGAGAGAGAGAGAGACAGAGCACAAGCAGGAGAGGAGCAGAGAGAG
Felis catus (domestic cat) is the source of this 2378-nucleotide long non-coding RNA. RefSeq lists it as uncharacterized. Lineage: Eukaryota; Metazoa; Chordata; Mammalia; Carnivora; Felidae. The transcript has 14 exons. The record is from RefSeq and is a predicted model, not a curated record.